UAACUUAUUCUACAUUCAGUAAACUGGAUCAUCAAAUUAGACUAAUAUCUCGUAGUUUACAAAGUGUUUGUAAGCCCCUUCCCAGGUAAAAUUUCUUUCCAUUAACUUCUAACUAAAAAAUUUAAGAUCUACAGGGUCUUCUCGUCCCUCUGACGCAUUUAAGGAUUUUCACUAAAAAUCUAAUUUCGAGGCUAUAUCGUUGAGACAGCUGGACGCUAGUUAAGCCGUUCAUUCUAGCCCUCAAUCAAAGGGCAAGUUAUUAUGCUACC
This 269-nucleotide ribosomal RNA is filed under the name Hoplopleura acanthopus. RNAcentral's name for it is "partial large subunit ribosomal RNA". Lineage: Eukaryota; Metazoa; Arthropoda; Insecta; Psocodea; Hoplopleuridae. The record is from RNAcentral.